AUGCUCCUGCAAGCCAUCUCGGAAAGGAGCAGCUUUCACUGCAGGACUGCAUUGAUGUUUCUGAAGAAACCCCCUCGGCAAGCCACGCUGCAAAGGAAUAGUUCCCAGAUCUUGGCAUAUCUGGAUGUACUGCUGCACCCUGAAACCUCUGUGCAGGUGUGGAACUUGAAAACACAUGGGCAGUUUUUCAAGUCACAGAUGACAUCAUCUCCUGAACACGGAGUUGCUGUAGACCUCACCACCGAGGUGAAUUUGUUACUGCCACUCACUAGAGAGAGAAGGAGCUCCCGCACUGUUGGCUGAGGUUACCUGUCCUGUGCCUGUUUGGCUCACAGGGGAUGUGGGACAGAGAUCUGCAGGUGUCUCAGUACUCAGGAGCCUUAUCUCCAAGGAGAUUUUUUUUUUUAAAGAGCUUCUCAGGGAGCUACAGCAUUUCCCCUGUCACAGACAAUGAGUCAUGCAGAGCUGCUUUAACAGAAAAGAAUUUGCAGUAAUCUGGAUGUAAUGGUUUUCUUUCACAGGAAAUAAUGAACAAGAAUUCAGUUCAGCUGUUUAUAACAGCGAUCAGAGGGACUUCUCUGGCUAUUAUGGCAGUUCAGGGUGUAAGGCAGUCCAGUUAACGUGCCAGAAAAGAAAUAAUAAAGAUUUCAAGAGCACAGUCA
Molecule: long non-coding RNA, 662 nt
Filed under: Anser brachyrhynchus (Pink-footed goose)
Lineage: Eukaryota; Metazoa; Chordata; Aves; Anseriformes; Anatidae
Description: lncRNA (ENSABRG00000000569.1)
Source: RNAcentral